This 460-nucleotide ribosomal RNA is filed under the name uncultured bacterium. RNAcentral describes it as "partial 16S ribosomal RNA". It matches the Rfam family "Bacterial small subunit ribosomal RNA", at positions 338 to 795 of the family's 1533-position model. The record is from RNAcentral.
CCUACGGGCGGCAGCAGUGAGGAAUAUUGGUCAAUGGACGAGAGUCUGAACCAGCCAAGUAGCGUGAAGGAUGACUGCCCUCUGGGUUGUAAACUUCUUUUAUAUGGGAAUAAAACGUUCCACGUGUGGGAUUUUGUAUGUACCAUAUGAAUAAGGAUCGGCUAACUCCGUGCCAGCAGCCGCGGUAAUACGGUGGGUCCGAGCGUUAUCCGGAUUUGUUGGGUUUAAAGGGAGCGUAGGUGGGUUGUUAAGUCAGUUGUGAAAGUUGGGGGCUCAACCGGAGAAUUGCAGUUGAAACUGGCAGUCUUGAGUACAGUAGAGGUGGGCGGAAUUCGUGGUGUAGCGGUGAAAUGCGUAGAUAUCACGAAGAACUCCGAUUGCGAAGGCAGUUCACUGGACUGCAACUGACACUGAGGCGCGAAAGUGUGGGUAUCAAACAGGAUUAGAUACCCCUGUAGUC